This 435-nucleotide ribosomal RNA is filed under the name Paraburkholderia sp. Its description in RNAcentral is "bacterial SSU rRNA". It matches the Rfam family "Bacterial small subunit ribosomal RNA", at positions 430 to 858 of the family's 1533-position model. The record is from RNAcentral. Lineage: Bacteria; Pseudomonadati; Pseudomonadota; Betaproteobacteria; Burkholderiales; Burkholderiaceae.
GCACUUUUGUCCGGAAAGAAAGCCCCGGGGUUAAUACCUCUGGGGGAUGACGGUACCGGAAGAAUAAGCACCGGCUAACUACGUGCCAGCAGCCGCGGUAAUACGUAGGGUGCAAGCGUUAAUCGGAAUUACUGGGCGUAAAGCGUGCGCAGGCGGUCCGUUAAGACAGAUGUGAAAUCCCCGGGCUUAACCUGGGAACUGCAUUUGUGACUGGCGGGCUAGAGUAUGGCAGAGGGGGGUAGAAUUCCACGUGUAGCAGUGAAAUGCGUAGAGAUGUGGAGGAAUACCGAUGGCGAAGGCAGCCCCCUGGGCCAAUACUGACGCUCAUGCACGAAAGCGUGGGGAGCAAACAGGAUUAGAUACCCUGGUAGUCCACGCCCUAAACGAUGUCAACUAGUUGUCGGGUCUUCAUUGACUUGGUAACGAAGCUAACGC